Molecule: ribosomal RNA, 252 nt
Filed under: uncultured bacterium
Lineage: Bacteria
Description: partial 16S ribosomal RNA
Rfam family: Bacterial small subunit ribosomal RNA
Source: RNAcentral
UACGUAGGGGGCAAGCGUUGUCCGGAAUCAUUGGGCGUAAAGAGCGUGUAGGCGGCCAGAUAAGUCCGCUGUGAAAUCUCGAGGCUCAACUUCGAGCUGUCGGUGGAAACUGUCUGGCUAGAGUCCGGAAGAGGAGAAUGGAAUCCUGGUGUAGCGGUGAAAUGCGCAGAUAUCAGGAGGAACACCGAUGGCGAAGGCAGGUCUCUGGGCCAUUACUGACACUGAGAAGCGAAAGCAUGGGGAGCGAACAGG